This 29822-nucleotide long non-coding RNA is filed under the name Vitis vinifera (wine grape). Its description in RNAcentral is "long non-coding RNA (VVIN_LNC000285)". The record is from RNAcentral. Lineage: Eukaryota; Viridiplantae; Streptophyta; Magnoliopsida; Vitales; Vitaceae.
CUAUCUAUCAAAAGGGGCUAUAAAUAAAGCCGAGAAUACAUGGUGAAGGGCAACGAAAUACAUACAUCAGCAUUACUCUCGGCAUUCUUAAGCAAAUCUAGGAUGUAUUUAGCAGAUUUGACAGGCCAGCGUCCUUGCCCAUUUGAAUGCCUGUUCUUUGCCUGAGCAGUUCGUCCAACACCUCUACAGAAGCGGGUGAAAGGUAUGGCUUGCUUGUGGACCAGAACAUCCUCCAAAUACCUUUUGGCCUUGGCCAAAGGCAACUUCCUAAUGGCAUGAGCAGUCUCCCUUGUGUUCUAUUGAGACAGUAUGGAAAUGAGAUAUACAAUGAUUUAAGUUCACCAUAAACUCAGAUUCUCACAUACAGAAGGAUAUAAAAAAUGAACAACAUGAUAACCAAAAGUAGAGAUGGGCGAAAUAGCAGGUGACCCGGUUGGACAAGCAGGAUCUGCAACAUAAUACCAACCUGGACCUAGCCUCUGGUAAAAAAUCUAUGCAUGAAACAAACCAAGUCUGACCUCAACAGCCAAAACAAUCUGGCUAAUAUAUCAAAAUUUGUAUCAGUGUAACUUUUUUUUUUCUUGGCCUUCUUUAUGGGUAACAAACAAACCACAACUAAUCAAACUGAUGCAGCUUUUAUAACAUAAUCAUAUUUCAGAUGAGCAGAGAAAAAAAAAAAUCAAAGAUCUAACUAAAGUAACAUCUAACGUAAUACAGGCAGUGCAAAUACCACAACUUUUUAGUUUGAAUAAUGAGUUCCUAGAAACACCGUAUUAGGCAGCUAACAGAACUUCUACUAACAAUGUUGCUAUGGCAAUGUAGCUGGUGUAAAGGAAUUGUAUUAUCAGACAUACGAUGGAGAAAAAGGCCUUUUUUUUUGCCACAAGAAUGCAGCAAAAACACUAGUACAAUUUAGAAGGACUCAUCCUACACACCACUUAAUGGAAGGAGUGACAUUCAUUUGAGAACUGUAAGUAUAGUCAAACUCAUCACAAUAUGCCACAAUUUAUUGAACCUUCCAUCACAAACAACUCCAGAGGUUCACCCAAUAAUAAUGAAACUGCUUUCCCUGAAGUUUAUGAGAGAAAUGCUGACAAAGGCAACAGGUCCCUGCUUUUUAUCAGGUUUCACAAACUUAGAUUUGAACAGUUAAAGUAAAAAUCAUUUAUCAUCAUUUAAUGAUGGCAACCAUCAGAGUGUGCCAUUAUUUACUGAGCCUUCCAUCACAAGCAACUCCAGAGGUUCACCCAAUAAUAAUGCAACUAAUUUCCCUGAAGUCUACGAGAGACCUGUUCACAAAGGCAACAAAUCCCUGCUUUUUUCAUCAGGUUCCACAAAGAAGAGAGCAAAUUGUAGUUGAAAAAUUAAGCCAAAAAACCAGCUAACAAGAAAAUAUCAACACCAUUUACUUCUAAAAUGUAAUGGAUAAAGAUUUUGCAAAGGGAAAUGCAUAGAAAAAUGGAUACAACUGCAAAUGGCAAAACUAGCUCUUCAACCAUUUUUUUUUAAUAUUUUAAGGAAAAUUUUAAAUACCAAUUUAUCAGAGAAACAAAUUUACCAUGAUUUACUGAACCUUCAAUCACCAAGAACAAUAUGGGUUCACCCAUGAAGAAUGUCAGGAUUUCCCUGAAGCAAGCAAUAAGCCCUUUCAUAAAGGUAUAAUAGAAUUCUGCUUUUUCUCAUCAGGUUUUACAACAAGAAAAAACAAAACUGAUCAUAUUUUUUUGUUUCCCUUUAUUUAGUAGCUAAAUUGACGAUAACAUGAAAAGGAAGGAAAAACGAGGCAAAGAUCAAACCAACCCUGUCAUGAUGUAACUGGAUUGGAAAUGAACCUUAUUCCCCGAUAUCACAAAGAAAAACCCAAUAUUUUUGCCAUGAAAAAAUUUCAGGAGAACCUUAGUAAAACUUGGACAGAAAUUAAACUCAAAUACCACUUUAAAGAAAGCAUAACACUCAGUUAUGAACAACAAUCAGUUGAUGAAACUCAUUAUAAUGUAACACUAUUUACUGAACCUUCAAUCACAGACAAAACUCAGGAGGUUCACCCAAUAACAAUGCAACUAAUUUCCCUGAAGUUUACGAGAGGACCAUCCAUAAAAAUCGACAGGCCCCUGCUUUUUUCCUCAGGUUUCGCCAUAAACACAACAACUCAUAGUUAAACAACCCAGACAAAUAAACCAGUUACUCAAAAACAUUGAUUCUAUAGCGCAUGCCAUGCAAUGAACCGUCCGUUUAAGCAUUCUCAUCAUCUUUAAUAAUUCAAACACAAAAAUUACAUGAAAAACUCUGCCACAAGAGAAAUAGAAGGAACGAAAAAUCUGAAGAGAUCAUAAUACCUUGAAGUGAACUCUGAGAUCUAAGCCCCUGGCCUUGCAAGCUGUGGCACCAAAACAGCAAUCAUAAGAUGCACAGAAAACAACACUACGUAAUUUUAGCUAUUGAAUCAGACACCCGAGAUCCCAUCUCAGGAAAACCAAAUGUUCAGAAAACAAAACACAAAUGCCCUGUUUAUUCGCUAAGAAAUUGCGAAAAAGUAAAGAAAAAAAAAAUCUUGAAUCCUUAAACCAGAAAAUCCAGCUCCAAGAUAUAACAGAACUCCGAGUUUUUAUUUCAUUUCCUCUACAGCCAAACAGGUAGAGACAUUUGCAAAACGCAAAAAGGCUAACAAGAAAUCGAAGUGCUUACACUUGGUGGGAUUGUCUGGCUCUCUGGAGUACUUCACCUGAAAAAAUACGCCAAACAGAUGAUCAUUUAUAGAGCUACAAAGAACAAGAGGAAUGAAUGAGGAAAAAAAAAAAAGGGCACUACCAUGGCGGCUUAUGAUGCUGCUGCUUCCUCCUCCCUCAGACAAGUCGAUGAUUUUCCUCGAGAAGAUGAGCUUAAACCCUAACCCUUCUAAAGUGGGCUGGGCUGGGCUAGGCCAAUGGGCCCAAAAUGGGAUCUUGAUACCUAAUAGCAUUACUUAAAAUUAAAUUUGCUUUAGAUUACAUUUUCUAAGUUGUGCCCUCAUCCGAAGAUGAUGAACCUAGGAAUAACUAAAAUUGAUUUUAAAUAUAUUCAUUAUAUUUUAAGCAUGAAAUUUCAAAUGCAUUAGGGAUCUCAAAUUUAAAUGGUCCAAUCAAUCCAUUUAGACCAAAUGAAAUUACCCUCAACAAGCUUGAUUUGAUUUAGUCUUUUUCAUCACCAAAUGGGUCCAAUCUUCUUUACAAUAUUUAAUAUUGAUGUAUUAAAAUAAUUGUAAUCUCUUAAUAUUAAUGCAUCACUAUUUUUGAUAUGUCAUUAUAUCAGCAUUCUUAACUUUUAAAAGUACAGAAUUGAUUUUUAAUAUUACCAUAUUAAUUAAUAUGAUAUUAUAUCAAUUUAAAACAAAUAUAAUAAUUUGGUAAAAAUAUUUUUGUAGAAAUCUUGAUUCAUGGAGAGGAAACAAAAAUGGGUUACCCAUUUUUGGUUGUAAGUUUUGUCAAAGUGAAAGUGAAACCCACACUUGUAUAAUUCUUGAAGGGGAAUGAAAAGUUGGUAUCCAAACAAAAGGGAGGGACCUUUUUCAUUUCAUUCCAUAGGAAUGAAUCCCACUUCAAGUUUUUAAUUUUAGUAUAAACCAAAUAUCUUGGAGGCCAAUCUUUUCUCACAAGGAACUCUGCAAUGAAGCUCAGCCAAUUGAAAGCAGCAAUCCCACAAAGAAAAUUGAGUCAACUAUGAUGGCAAAGAACCCCAUGACACCUCAUAUAUGAUGAAUGUAUGUUUAGUGGCUUAAAUGAAAGUAGUUUUUCAGAACGAAUUCAUUUUUAUUCCUAUGCUCCUUGCAAAUGAUCCUAUUGUUUGUUAUAAACAGCCACAUUUGAUUACAAAGGCUACAUGUAAUCAUCUUAUUUUCGCAGUAAAAAUAGUCAGAAUGCUAGCACAAAGUUGAGAAAUAUAAUAUGAAAAAGGACAGCUUAUGCAGAGAUGAGAAAUAACCAUGUGAGCAUUGAACCAAACUUCUUGAUGAUUUGCACCAAAUGAAAGACUUUUUGGCCAAAAUAACCAUGGUUUGCAAUUAAUCGACUUGAUUAGGUCCAUUUAUAAGAGGACAAAACUAGGGUUAUUUCGGGGGUAUCUUCAUCUAAAAUUUCCAUAACUUUCCAAAAUACUCAACAAAAUUCUGAAAACAAAACAAAGUGGCUCAAAGACUCUCAAUAACCCCUGACUUUAUAUUAAGACAACAAACUCAUCUUAAAAUGAAAGAGUGACAAUUAAAAUUGGCAUGAAAAUUUCUUGAAGAGUUUACUAGCUCUAUCAUCAGAUUGCAAUUCGAGUAGAAGCACCACCGCGCAGAGACUUCUUGGAUUUGCCUGUCGCCAACUGAGUUUCAGGCUGCAAAACCCACCAAGAGUAGUAAGAUACUAAUCAAAACCAGGGCAACUAAUUUCUCCUAUAUUGCUCUCCCUUUGGGUUCUAUUCUUGAUGCAAUGACUAAUGAAUUACCUCCUUUUUAACAGGUUCUUCCUUUUCAGACAAAAUCAACUCAAUAUGGCAUGGUGAUGACAUAUAUGCUGCCAAACAAAUAGAAGGUUCCUGUUAACAUUUAGGAAAACAACCAUUACACAAAUGCUAGAUUUGAAAGGAAACAAACUUACGGUUGAUUCUUCCAUGAGCCCGGUAUGUGCGGCGCCUUUGUUUCUGUGCCUGGUUCACUUGGAUGUGAGAUAUGUAGAGUGAAUCAACAUCCAGACCUUUCAACUGUAAGAAUUGACAUUUAUUAGUUAGUUGGAAUUAUAGACAAAGCAGAGAAUACAUGGUGAAGGGCAAUUGAAUACAUACAUCAGCAUUACUCUCAGCAUUCUUAAGCAAAUCUAGGAUGAAUUUAGCAGAUUUGACAGGCCAGCGUCCUUGUCCAUUCGAAUGCCUGUUCUUUGCCUGAGCAGUUCGCCCAACACCUCUACAGAAGCGGGUGAAAGGUAUGGCUUGCUUGUGGACCAGAACAUCCUCCAAAUACCUUUUGGCCUUGGCCAAAGGCAACUUCCUAAUGGCAUGAGCAGUCUCCCUUGUGUUCUAUUGACACAAUAUAGAAAUGAGAAAUACAAUGAUGUGAGUUCACAAUAAACUCAGAUUUUCAGAGAGAAGGAUACAAAAAUGAACAACAUGAUAUCCAAAAAAAGAGAUGGGAGGAAAAGGAGACCCUGGUUGGACAAGAAGCAGGUGUACAGUGAUCUGCAACUUGAUACCAGCCUGGACCUAGCCUCUGGUCAAAAACCUAUGCUUGAAACCAAGCAAGGGUGACCUCAAAAGCCAAAAUAGCCUGGCUUACAAAUUACAUUAUAUAAUAAUAUAAUGAUAUAGUACAAUUAAAAAUUGCAUCAGUAUCUUUUUUGGCCAUCUUUAUAGGUAACAAACUGACCAUAACCAAUCAGACUAAUCCAGGUUUUAUAAUGCAAUCAUAUUCAGAGGAACAGCAACAAAAACAUCAAAGAUCUAACUAAAGGAACAUCUAACUUAAUAUAGACAGUGUAAAUACCACAACUAUAUAGUUUAAAUAACGAGUUAUUAGAAACACUAUGUUAGGAAGCUAACAGAACUUCAAAUAACAAUUUUGCAAUGGGAAUGCAGCUGGUGUGUGAAGGAAUCAUGUUAACAGACAUACCAUAGAGAAAGGCCAAUUUUUUGCCACAAGAAUGCAGUGAAGACACUAGUACAACUUAAAAUAAGAACUAUCCUACAGACCACUUAACAGAAAGAGUGACAUUCAUUUGAGAAUUGUAGGUGUAGUCAAACUCAUCACAAUGUGCCAUUAUUUACUGAGCCUUCCAUCACAAAAAACUCCAGAGGUUCACCCAAUAAUAAUGCAACUAAUUUCCCUGAAGUUUACGAGAGACCUGUCCACAAAGGCAACAAGCCCCUGCUUUUUUCAUCAGGUUUCGCAAACAAGACAAAAAUUUAGAUUUGAACAGUUAAAAGUAAAAAACAUUUGUCAUUAUUUACUGAUGGCAACCAUCACAAUGUGCCAUUAUUUACUGAGCCUUCCAUCACAAAAAACUCCAGAGGUUCACCCAAUAAUAAUGCAACUAAUUUCCCUGAAGUUUACGAGAGACCUGUCCACAAAGGCAACAAGCCCCUGCUUUUUUCAUCAGGUUUCGCAAAACAAGACAACAAUUUAGAUUUGAACAGUUCAAGUAAAAACCAUUUGUCAUUAUUUACUGAUGGCAACCAUCACAAUGUGCCAUUAUUUACUGAGCCUUCCAUCACAAUAAACUCCAGAGGUUCACCCAAUAAUAAUGCAACUAAUUUCCCUGAAGUUUACAAGAGACCUGUCCACAAAGGCAACAAGUCCCUGCUUUUUUCAUCAGGUUUUGCAAACAAGAAAACAAUUUAUAUUUGAACAAUCAAAGCAAAAGAUCAGUUAAUGAGAAAAUAUCAAAACCAUCUAUUUAUGCAAUGGAUAAUGAUUUUGCAAAGGGAAAUGCAGAUAAAAAGGGAUACAACAGCAAAAGACAAAACUAGCACUUCAAGAAUUUUUUUUUAAAAUAUUCUAAGAAUAAUUUUACAUACCAAUUUAUCAGAGAAACAAAUUUAGCAUCAUUUGCUGAAUCUUCAACCACCAAGAAAACAGGUUCAGCCACGAAGAAUGUGAGGAUUUCCCCCAAGUUUACAAUAAUCCCAUUCACAAAGGUAACAGAAAUAUGUUUUUUCCAUCAGGUUUUACAAUCAAGGAGAAACAAAACUAAUGAUACUUUUCACUUUCCCUUAAUCUGGUAGCAAAAAUUUACCAUAACAUGCUAAAUCUAACUAUAGAUUUUAUAUUUUAAUAAUAAGCAGAAAGGCAGGGAAACUUUAAUUUUUCUAUCAAAAAAAUAUAAGCACGGGAAAAAACAAAGCAAAGAUCAAACCAACCCACAUAAACUAAACAUAGAUAAUAGGAAAAAUAAAAAAACUUGUAUUCAUAUAAAUGAUGUCUAGAAACACUAUGUCAAUCAAACCAUACCAGAAGAAUGCAGACAAUAGUAUUGUCAUCACAAUAUAACCAGAUUGGAAAUGAUCUAACAAAUGUCACAAAGAAAGCCCCAAUAUUUUUUUCAUAAAGAAUACCAGGAGAACACCACUAAAACUUGGAAGAAAUUUAAAAUCAGAUACCGCUAAAAAGAAAGCAACACGCACUUAAGAACAACAAUCAGUUGAUGAAACUCAUCAUAAUGUACCAUUAUUUACUGAACCUUCAAUCACAAACAAUACUCAUGUGGUUCACCCAAUAACAAUGCAACUAAUUUCCCUGAAGUUUACGAGAGACCCAUUCACAAAAGGCAACAGGUCCCUGCUUUUUUCAUCAGGCUUGACAAAUAAACCAAACUAAGGGAAAAAAAUCCAAAUGCUCAUCAAGCUAGUGGAAGUAAAUUAAAAGGUACAAAAAUCAAAUCAAAUCAAAUACAUAUAAAAAUACCUUGAAAUGAACUCUGAGAUCUGACCCCCUGGCCUUGCAAGCUGCGCAUCAAAACCAGGCAACUAUAAGAUACAAAUAAUGAAAAUGAGAGCUUUCUUCGGUCCUCAAAAAUAGAAAAAUAGAUGCAUCUAAAAUAAAGAACCAUUAAUCUACUUCACAUACGCAAAACGUGAUAGAUCCAAAAGAUCCCAUCUUCAAAAACCUUAUAUUUCAAGAAAAAAUGCCUUGUUUACUCGCUGAGAAAUUAUCAAACACUACGUUCAAAAACCUUGGUCUCAUUUUCUCAGCAACCAAACAGACGCAGAGACUCGUAAAAGCAAUAUGAAAUGCGAAGGUGCUUACACUUAGUGGGGUUGUCCGGUUCUCUGGAGUACUUCACCUGAAAAAACACAUAAAAAAUAAGAUGUUUCAGACAUAUGAAGCAGAAGAAGAUGAAGAAGAAGAAUGAAAAUAGACCACAGUGCGAUACCAUGGCGGCUUAUGCUGCUUCUGCCUCACUAGAGAUGUUGAUCUCUUGUUCUGCUGAGAGAAGAGGCGAAGGCGGGACUUCGUGGAUUAGGGUUUGGCUUUAUAGGGUGGAACCCUAAUGGGCCUGCUCCUAAAUUAUUUAGUCUGGGGUUGGGCUGGGCUUGGACGGCAAACCCUGGUUUACAGUCCAAAUUCAGAAGGAGUAACGGGUCCAAAAUGAAAUAAAUGCUUUGUUAAUUUGAAUUUAUAAAAAUAGUCCUAAGCAUAAUUGGAUUUUAAUUUCUCAUUUUUUAAAAAUUAAAAAAUAAAUAAAUUUGGAUGGAUUUGUUAGCAUUUUCUUAUGUCAAUUUUUAUUUAAAAAUUAUAAAUUUUUAAAAUGAAAAUAAGGUUUUUUUAGGAAGAAAUGAAUUUGAUUUUACGUAAAUUGAAUGUUGUAGAAGGAAAUGAUAGAAUUAAUAUAAUGCAUGAUUAGCUACCAAUGAUGAUGGAUUUUUUAAAUCUAUUAUGGUUUAGGAAAAGUCUAGAUACCAAAAAGGUAUUAAUACAAUUUUAUAUCUUAAUUAAUGAAACUACAUGAUAAAAUAUAAGGUAUGGUAAAGACGAUGGACUUUAGAUAUAAAACAAUAGGAUUGGACUUGAUAUAAAAUAAUGUAAUCUAAAUAUAUAUUUGAUCGUGAUGUGAUUGAUCAUGAUUUUUGAUACUUAUCAAAUGGAGUUUAUUAUUGGAUCCUAUGAUUGAUCAAACUUUAUAUAAAACAAUAGAACCCAUCAUACAUAUGAUAUGAUGUAAUUGAUCAUAAUUUUUUAUAUUUAUUGAAUGAGUGUUAUAAUUGGAUCAUAUGAUCAUAUGUUUCUUAAUUUUAUGAUUUAAUUCAUUGCUGACCAUGAAUUUGAUUUUUUUUUUUUUAGGAAUUUGGUGGUUUUUGCCGCUUGUUUGAUAGGUAACCAAAAUAGUUUGGGACUUGAAAAAGAGGCAAUCCGGUAAGUAUAAACAAGGUUGCUUAGUAAAGAGAAAACACCUGUAGUGUCUAAUUGAUGUUAAAAAAAAAUGAGGUCAAAAUCAAUUUCUUCUUUCAUGUGAACUAAUGAUUUUCACAUGUAUGAUAUAAAAACAUGAUUAGUUUUGGAACUAUUUUCAAAAAUAAUUUUUAUUACAAAAUAAAACAGUUUUAUGUUCUAACAAAAUGCUUUCAAAAAUCAUAUUUUAAUUAUUUUAAUUGUUUUUACUUAUUUUUUAAAAACUAUUUUAAAAAAUAGUUAUAUAAAUAUUGAGAAAAAUUAAAAUAAAACAUUACAUAUAAAAAAUAUAAAAAAUAGGUUAAAAACAUUUCAAGUUCCAAAAUAAAGAUUUGUUUCUUAAAACAUUUUUUAAAAACUUCUCUCAAAUAUUGUUUUUCAGAACUCUUUUAAAAAAUAAUUACCAAACAAAACCAUAACCUCUCUCACUCUAAUAAAGCUUAAAAAUUUUACAAGGUGAAGGAAAAUAAUUUUCUUAUAUUUAGUUUAUCUAAAAAAAAAAUAUGAAAAAAAAUCAAAUAUAAUUAAAAUUAUUCAAUCUUUACAUAGAAAAAAAAAAUUAAAAAUAAGAUUAAAAUAACAUAUAAAAUUAAUUAUUAAUUUUAAAUUUAUUCUUUAUUAUUCUUUACAUUUUUUUUUUCUUUUUUUUUUCUCUAUUUUCCUUUUUCCAUAUUUUCUUUCAAAAUUUUCGAAAACCAAACAUAUUCGAAAAUUUAUCAUUUAAAUUAUUCUUUUAGACUAUGAGUUCAUUAUUUUGCACAUUCUUGCUAAUUCUGAAAGGCAAUUUCCUGCCAUUGAGAUUUCAGAGUAAAGUUCUCCUUUCAAAGCAAACCCACCCAACUAAAAAGAAAUUUUGGUUACGUUUGAUGGGGAAAAUACGAAGGAAAUAAAAACAGAGAAGAAAAGUGACUGAGAGAAAAAAAACAUUAAGAAAUAAUAUGUUUUGACGGAACGUACCAAACCCUCUAUGUACCAUACCCCUGGACAACUCGCCGGCAUGCCUAGUAUCAAUCUUGAAUUAUGACCGGACUUCUUGCCUGAAAAUGUCUAAUUUGCCUCAAGAAUGGACAAAGUGAUUGAAACAUUUACCCAAUGCUAUCCAAUUGAUAAUAUCAAUUGCAUAAAGAAAGAGACAUUUACUUGGGCUAACUUUCAACCUUUUGUUUUUGACACACUAUGCUAAACACCAUUCUUAAUCCUUAUAAGAUUUGAUUACACAUGAAUGAUGAAUCAACAAACCUUCAAAUAAUUUUAAUUCUAUCCCAACCGGCCUUAAUCUCUUUCACAUUCCCUUUCCUUUCAUUUUCUCAGCGGCCGAGGGCAUCGGAACUUCAUAGAGAGGGGAAGAAAAUGAAGGAGAUUCAAAUCAAAUCACAUUGCCAAUAUUGUACCGUCUCAUGGAAAAGCUGUUGCUCACAAUAAAAGCAGAGGUCACCUCUUUAUUUUUGUGAGGUUACCUGAAAAAACCUGUAUGAAUGGAGACUUAGAAGACAUAACUAGACAAAAAGCUUGAAUAAGCAGUAACAUCCACCCAGCUCGGAAAAAGGCCCUUUAACUUCUUUGCUGCAUCCACCAUAUAUUGAUCUAAUACAGCAACUUCCACCCUUAUCUCUUCAGAACUGCUAGCCUGCAAAUUCUCAGAGAGUUCAGCAGAGCAGGGAAAAGGAUUAUUCGUAAAAAUAAGAAUAACCCAGUUAUAAAUCUCAGAAAUUAACCCCAGGAUAUUAAAAAAAUGUGAUACAAACGGGAGCUAUACCUCCAACCAGAAGGUCCAAUUCUCAUGGCUAGCUCCACUGAGUCUACAAAUGUAUGAAAGUGGACCACCACCACGUGAUUCAGGAGCUGUAAACAAUUUCAUAAGGUUAAAUUACAAUGAAGACAUACAAUUACCAGGAAUAAUGUAUAAUAAUUAGUAAUAUACUUACCAGGAAGUACAUUAUCUGCAAAUGACCAACUGGAUAAAGGACCAGUAAUGUUAAGGACUGAAACCCAAACCUCCUCUAAAGAACUGGGAGAAAAAACAUCACAUAUAGCUAUUAAAGCUUACAGCUAACUUUUGAAAAAGAAAUACAUAAAUUCUUCAACUACAUAUCCAACAAACAAAUUAUACUGAGAACUAGUGCAAUAGCAUUUUUCCUUGCAGCAUUCUGUAUAUUUUAUUCAUCCCCUUCUAACAAUAUGACAAAAACAUGUGAUCGGUCGAAUACAAGCUAACAUGGAACAGAAGAUGAGUUGAGAGCAUUCACAGACGUUCACUUUUGAUUUUUAACUUUCUGUACUGAUUCAUUCAUGUGGAGAAACAGUAAACUGAAGCAAGUGAACGUUAUCUAUGCCCUAAGUAUGACUUCUACAGACCCCUGGUAAAGACUUUGUAUCCUCCCCACCCAAACUGAAUUUUUUGUGUGAGUAUGCAAUAUGCACUAAUUUCAACAUAGAGCACAACAUUGAUUCCUGUGCUUGUCAGAAUCAUAUAACUGUUUAGCAUUUAGACAUGUAAAAAAGUCCGACAAAGGCAUGCACAUGGCCUACAAACUCUUGAAAAUCAGAAGUUAUGCAAAGCAACUAACUAGGAAACUUUAAAUCAUCCAACAAAAGUCCUCAUUUCCUUGCAUAUUUAUGACCUAAUUAUCAGAGGCCUGUUUGGAUUGGCUUUUUGAAAGCCAAAAUUUCUUCUCUAACUCCAACAAGAAUAUUUUGUGUUUUGGAUAAUUUCAAUAUUGUGUUUUUGGCUUUAGGAAGAGCUUAAGAUUGAAGUAAAUACAAUGUUGCCCCUUGUGGAAGCUUCUUUUAGCUUAUAUGGGACGUUGUUCCAUGUUUAAUGAAACCGUCAUAAUACCAAAAUGGCCUCCUUAAAAUCAUGGCUUUAUUUCAGCUUAUAUUUCUAGCUAAAGCUGAUAUCAAAAGCAAAACCUAUCCCCAACAAGGCCUUCCAGGUAUGACAAGGUCUGCUGCAUGACCCUGUUGCAGUGCCCCAUAGUAAAAAAGGACAAAUAAUGAAAAACACACCAAAAUGUUCAUGCAUAUAUAUACAAAACAACAUCAAUUCUUAGAUAGCACUUGCAUUUUAUUAUACUUACCCUAAGUAAAAUUCUAAAUGAACCCUACGAGAUCCCCCAUCAUAAAGCGUAUGUGGCUUAUAAGCAGACAAAUGGGGAAAAGAGCUGUAGUGUUUCAACAUAUCAUCACUUCUUGCAGGGAACUUCAAGCUUCCUGAAAAUAAGAAAGAUACUGGAAAGAGCACCUGCAAAAGAAACAGACCCUUAAAAAAAUUUCAUACCUCAGCCCAUGAUAACCAUGAAUUUAAGAUCUUUGGAUUGAAUAUUUGUCAGGGAGUAGUUAGCAAAUAACACCACUCCAAAAAUGAAUAACAAGACCAGACAUUUCCACAAGGUGGGGAAGUGCAAUCACUAAUUCUUAAAACCAACAUUCUUAAGACCAAAGAGUGCGCACACAUGGCUUGCACAAUAGGACAAAGAUCCCAUCAUUCUCAGGAUGAAGUUUAUAUGAAAAAUAUUGACCAUGAUUCAUUUCUAAGGCAUAAAUUAUACAAACAAACUCAGUUUAUGUAUCUGGCAGAAUAUUAGCUUGAAAGUUAUAUAGCUACAUACCAUCCAAGUCUGUCGAGGAGAGUCCUUAGUGGCUUUAAAUGACAACUCUGAACCCAUGUUUAGUUCCUUUGCCACUUCGGGGGCAUGUUCAAAAAGAAAAGGCAAAGAAUUGGAAUCAACCACAGAAAAAUCAUAACUGGAGCCUACUACCCGACUUGCAUCUGUCAAAUCAGAAAACAAAAGAGGUUUUAAGAAGAUAUCUGGAAUGGCAAAUUUUCCCAGAAAAAAAAAAAUCAAGAAGAAAGCUAAGGAACUACUUUGUUUUUUUGAUAGGUAAAGAAAGCUGAGGACCUACACAACAUGUAUUCCUGUAAAUGCAUUCAUAUUAAUGCAUUAAAGAUGGUCAAUGUUGAUUGUAGUUGGUCACUUCACUAACGAUAAUAUUUGGUCAUAAGAACACAAUUAUUACAAGUUCCACAAGACAACGGGUGUUUGCACACUACAGGUUUCUUUGUUAUAUAAUAUGUAGUGACAGAUACUUUAAUCCCUUUGUAGCCAUAGAAACAAAUAUAUCUAUUAGGAAAAAAAUAAAUUACUCUCACAUGAAUUAUCUAAUAAAAGUAUGUUAUUUGAUGUUCUAGUUCCCCUCAGUUGAUGGUGUAUAUAUAUGUACACCCAUAUGAAUUUAUUGUUAAUGUAUUAAACAUCAUCUUUGCAUUUGAUGAGCUUCUUAGGAAAGAAUUUCGCGUCGAUAACUUACACUGUAGGUGUUUAUCAAUGUGUUGAAACACAUGCAAAAAUAAGAUUUCUUUACAUAUGUGGCUCACAAUCAAUAUGGUUUUAGAUGACAAGAUGAGCCAGAAUUGAAUUGGAAAGAAAUAGUGAUAGUGGAGGGUUUAAAACAAAUUAGAUUGAUAGAGGUUAGGAAAAUACUAUAACAAGAACUUAUAUCACAAAACAUUUGGACAAAAUAGAUCAAACCAAACUUUCUUCUAGGUUAUUAAAUAACCAAUUUAUUCCAAACAAACUGAAGGGAGAACAAUAAGAGGGUGUUUGGUAAAUCAACUUAAUGACUUAAUAACUUAAUUUAAGUCAUUUAGUAAAUUAAGUAUGUUUGACAAAAUAAAUUCAUAUCACAACUUAAAGUUAGAAAUAACUUUUAAAGUAUUAAGUCAAAAUGGUAAAUUUCACUUAUCUCUCCUCAGGUUUGAGCUGAAUACACUUAGUCACCGCACGUUUGAAAUUUCAUCAUACACCUCCAUUAUUUUAAAUCAAAGUGUAGGUGAGUAAAAAUAACAAAUAAGAAGAGGAAGGAAGGUAUUUGAUGAAAUUUCAAAUCAAUGGUGGUUAGGUGUAUUUAGCUCAAACCUUAAGAAAGGUUAAUGAAAUUAAUCAUAAGACAAAACAAUUAAUUUAUUCUUAAUCUCAAAUCUUUUUUACCUCAUUUGCCCAUAUCUAGGGAAAGUAUAUUUUAUAACUAUGAAUUCACAUCCAUGACUCAUUUUUAUAGUAAAUAUUUUGUGGUUAUCUUAUAUAUCUACAACAAUUUAAAUAUAAUUGUUUAACAAACAAAUUUAUCGGUUAAGAUUAAAGAAAAUAAAUAUUUUUUAAAAUUAAUGAGGAUAAAUAUUAGUUAAAAUUAAUGAGGGUAAAUAUGUUAAUUUGAUGAUUUAAAAUAAAUUUUAAGUUUUUUUUUUAUAAAUAAGCACAGAAUAUAUUGAUAAGAGGCCAAAAAGCCACACGUAUACAGGGAGUAUACAAUCUAGCUAACAAUAAAUUUUAAGUUAACUUCACCUAACAACCUUAAUACUUAAAGUGAAAAUCAAGGAACAAGUUUUAAUUCAACUACUUAAAAAUAAUUUAACUUAAGUCAUUAAGUAAUAAGUAUUAAGUUCACCAAAUACUCUCUAAUGGAAGAAUUAAGAAAACAAUUAGAUCAACUGUACUUCAAUAAAAAAGACAUGUUGAACAACUGACAAAUAGUUUGUUCACUAAAAUUAAGGAUGCUGUAAAGUUGUUAAGUAGUUAUUAUAAGGCAAAAACUUGUAAAGUAUUAAAUAAAAGAUGAGAGCAUUUAUGACAAAUGCAAGAUAAGUUCCAAUAUACUACAGAUCCCUUCCCAAAACCAGACAUGAAACCAGAAGUUUGUUCUUCUUCCACUCCUCUGAUAAAAGUUUGCUCAGCAAAGGUUUCUCAACCUCUCCAGCCUAUAAAUGAAAAAUAAGGUUUCUCAACCACCCCUGAUUACUUUCCAAAUCCUACUCACCACUGGUCCUCUGCCCACCUACAAACACCAUCACUUUCCAAUUCUACAAACUUAUCCGACUUUCCUCUCCAAUCUAUCUCUUUCAGACAUGAAUCUCCACAGUGAUUCACCCAGCAGGGCUUUAUUCAGGAGCAAAUUUCUCAAACUAAAACUAUUUCCCUUCUCGGUGGAAUAAACAACCUCCCACUUAACCAAAUGAGUCUUUACUACAAUAACAAACCAGUGCCCCCCAGAUAUCUUUUCAAUCCUCUGUUGAACCAAUACUGGAAUGACAAAAGAAAAACAUGAAAAAGAAACUGGCAAACUAGACAGAGUGUCUUCAAUGAGCAUGACUCAACCUCAUAUGGAGGCAUUGUCUCUUCCACUAAGCUAACUGUCCUUUGAUAGAUUCCACCACUGGUUCCCAGUUACAAUGAAGUAAAGGAGCCUUAAAGAAUGCUAUUUUCCUCAAGCGACUUAUAAUGGCAUAGACCUGGAAUCCCAAUUCACACCACAUCAUGCUCUAACUCAGAAAGCUUUGAGCAUUUUUAGAUCCUUUGUUUCCACCUAUUAUUCUGAGUCCUAUUGGUGUGUUGCAUUCAAUUACCUGUCCGUCCACUCCCACCUAUGACUUACUCUGCAUAUCCUAGUAUAAAGAAAGCAAUAAAUGUGUUUAUCCUAGACACAAGAAAGCCCACUAACAAGCAUCCAAUGCACUAAUAAAUAUUAAAUAUUAUCUGAUACCUACUAAGCCCAACAAAAGCUCCUGGAACACAUCUUUGUAUCAGUUAUGAUGAAAUCCCAGAAAAGAAUAUUAAAAAACAAAAAAUUCAAAACUUGGAACAAGUGGAAACUAUUUAAUGCUUGAAGAGAAUACAGUUUUCAUUUUUCAAUGCUUUUGCAAGGUUGUAGAUGAAAAGUUAGUUACAAGUUAAGACGAUAUGAAACCUUCCCACUAAAGAACCAACUCAUCAAAUUAAACCAGGUGUGAUAAAUACGAGCUUUGAUCCAUACCAAAAAACAGCUGAAAGUUUGAAAGGAGAGCAUAAAGAAAUUAAAAAUAUUUAUAUAAACCUAAGCCCCCAAUGAGCAUUUAUAGGAGCAUGUGACAUAUAUAGCAUAAUAACUGUUGUUUUAUUUAGUACCUGCAGUUAGGAAUGUAUGCUGAAAAACAACCCUCUUAGGAGCAGCAAUGCUAUAAGGAAAGAACUGCGAUGACAGAGCCAAGGCAAGCACACUAAGCUGCAACAAGAAUUUCAAGAUGGAUGAUCUGGCAAGCCAGUGACCACAAAUAGGUAUUAGCGGGCCCACACACCAACUGGUUACUAAUCCUAUUACUGCUGCCACUAUAAUAUCCGGAAUGAAAUAUCCUGCAAAUGAAGAUUAAUUUGUUUGAAAUACUUGUAAAGCAACUAGAAUACUCAGGUAAAUAGACUUUUCCGCUUUGAGAUUUUCCUAUAUAACUGCCAUCAUCAUAAAGAGAUAAGUUUGAAGUAUAUAUGUGCUUACUCAUGUUAAUAAUUUUCAAUACAAACCACUUCAAGUACAAGCAACAGGAGAGCAUAUAAAUGAAAGGAUCAUCCAUUUAGCCAGAAUGGAUGUUAUAAAAGUGAUACAUCAAUGCACCACGACCGUCCAUAAAUGGAGUUUUCCCCAUUUAGAGGGGGAAAAAAAAAACCCUAUGCAAAAGAUCGGAAUAUUGUUUGAAAUUUGUAUAAAGAAGCACAAGAAGUUUAAAUAUGAAACAGGUUGAAUAUACAGUCAAUUAGAUUUUUGAGCCACAUGUAUCCAAUUGCAUACUCCGUGACUGAUUGCUUCAGCCAGAAUUAGUCAGACACAAUACUGUCAUUACUGUCUCAACAAGAAUAUUUCUAACAAUAAACCAAUUGAAAGUGACAUGAGGUUGUUUGGUGGAUCAACUCUUAAUGACUUAAUAACUUAAUUUAAGUUAUUAAGUAAAUUAAGUUUGUUUAAUAAAAUAACUUUAUAUUAAAACUUAAAAUUAAAAAUAACUUUAAGUAUUAAGUCAAAAGAAUUAACUUAUUUUGAAUUUCAAAUCUCUUUGCCUUAUUUGUCCACACCUAAUGAUAGUCUCUUUUAUAUCCAUGUCUCCACAUCUGCAAAUUGUUUUUUAUUGUAAAUAUUUUGAAGUCCUUUUAUGUGUUUGCAAUACUUUUAAUAUGAAUAUUUAAUAAAAAAAAUUUGUUUGAGAUUAAUGAGGGUAAACAUUAAUUACAAUUAAUAAGGGUAAAUAUGUCAAUUUGAUGAUUUUUAGCAUAAAAAUUUUAAGUUAACUUUACCAAACAACCUUAAUGCUAAAGUAAAAAUCAAGUCAUAAAUUUUAAUUAAACAACUUAAGAAUAAUUUAACUUAAAGUCAACUUAACUCAUUAAAUAAUAAGUAUUAAGUUUUACCAAACACCCUCUGAAUUGAAAGGUUAUUACAUUAUACUAGCAUUGGUAACCCUCAGGGCCACUGGAGGUUUACCCGGUCAUUAACUUCAGGGCCCCGUGGGAUUAGUCGAGGUGCGCAUAAGCUGGCCCGGACAUCCACGGUUAUCAAAAAAAAAUUAUACUAGCAUUGGUAACAAUAAAAGUAUGGAAAGACUAACCAUAGGGGGGUGGGAUAGAACCCAUCAUACCCAUCUUCUCAAUCAAGAAUUGGGCAAGAAACCCACCAAAGUAGACAGAGUACGUGAUGCAGGGUAUUAGAGGUAACACGUAGCACAUUGCUGAUCUGGAAAAAAUAUAACUUCUCACUCACACUAUAAUAUUGAACAAUAUCAACAAGAUUAUUAUUAGAGAACCAUUUUAACUUGUACCUAAGUGAUUGACAAUCAAAAAGCUUGACUGCAAAGUGAAAUGAGAUCCAUGCAGCAAGCAUAGAAACUGACAGAGAAAAAGUCAAGAAACCUCCACUCAAUCCAGCUACAAGAUAGGCCUGCUUUCACUAAUGUAGUCUUAGCCAUUUCAAGUCUCAUAACUGUAUAGAAUUAAGCAGAACAGAAAAACCCACUCACUCAUUCACUCACACACACAUAGACAGAAAGGUUACUCAUCUCAUAUUCGUUUCCCAAAAUAAUGAAAUCCAGUUUUAUGUAGUGAUCAAAUUGCAUACCAAGGUCAACAGAGCAUAAAACCCAAACACCCCCCAGAACCUUGGAUCAUCAGAUAGUCCCUGAGGAAUAUGCCAAAUCAUUAGUUCACCCUCUGGUGGUGAAAAAUGUUAUGCAGAUCAAAUAUAAGUUUUUGAUUGAAAAAGAUGGAUCUAAAAACCUUGAAUAAAACAUUAUGCUACCAAGAUUAGAGUGAAAAAUCUCUAUAACAAAUGCAUCUACAGAAGAAACAAAUAAAGACGAAUGCAACAUGCUUAUAAUUCAAUUUCUUAUCCUCUGGGGAAAGGGAUAAAGAAAUUAUCAUCACAUGGAAUAGGACAAAAUAGAAAGAUGCAAGAAAAACAAACUCCAGUAUCCAAGCAAACUUCUAAUGUGUCACCAGUAAGAAGGCCAAAAACAAAUAAAUAAAUAAAAAUAAAAACUUAAUACUAGGUUGUCCAGAAGCUGGUGCAAUAGGCUCCAACAGUAGGAGAAUGGCAGAAACAAUACAAAAUGCUAAAGUAAUCAAAUUCCUACAAUGAAAAUAACAGAAAACUGGAAGUAUACAAAUUUCAGAUUUGAACUUGCCUGUUAUUUAUGGUCAUAAAAGGAGAUAAAUGGGAGUUUGUGUUCCCAAAGCAUAGUUAGAAAUAGGGAUAAGAUUACCUUUACACAAUACGAUAGAAAACUAAUUGUGACGAGGUGAGGAUCACACAUUUGGUUGUCAUGAUUUAAGCAAGGAAAAGGAUGAUAAGGAAAAGGAUGAUAGACUGUGAUUUAACACAAAAUGGCUCAAUCUAACCGAUAAGAAUUCAUGUAUUAAAUCAUGAAUAGCUGUAAUAAGGUUCAGAUGAGUUUAUUGUAUAUUGUCUCAAAUUGCAGGAGAAACAUAGAAGAUGCAAAGAGAAGCAGCACAAGAGUGUAUAAAUGUAACCAUAACCUCUUAGAGGCAGGCCAACAUAUAGUACAAGCAUAACAGAAUCUCAGCAACCAAAUAUACAGAUAUCUUAAAGAAGACUGCAUGGAAACAAGGAUUGCUGCAGUUUGGAGAAAUCUGAUAAUGGAUGAGGUUCAGAUGCUAAAAAAUUGAAUUCUAGAUCAGGCAACCCAAUAAUUUCUCUAUUUCACUUUUCCCAAGAGAACCAAUAUUUGCACUCCACCUUUGAUUCUGGGAGUCCACUGUGUAUGAAAGGUACCUCUGCAAGUGCACUAUAGGUGCAAUGCAAGAAGCAAAAUGAGGGGCAUAUAUCAUUUUGAAAUGAGUUACCAGUAAGAGUUGAAUCUCAAACUCUCCCCACUCCAAAAACCAAAGAUUUUAUCAAUCACAAUUAAUGAUGUGUAAACAUGUCAGGCAGAACACAUGUUUACAAUGUACAUCAAUCACAAACCAAGAACAAGGCACAUGCACCAUACAUAUGAAGUGGAACUCGAACUCCAAACUAGAAUUAAGAUCAACCAUUUCAGCCCAAGUACAAAUAAUAUGAACACAAUGUGAGGGUGAAAAAUAUCAUUUAAUUCCACAAGAGGCUCAAGCCUGUAGUAAAAUUGGAUGCCAUUGCACACCAUAUGCAUCCAACAACCAAAAGCAAUAACAGCCUCCAUUGCAUGAAAGGAACAGUUUGACAAUAGAUCAAUUGUAAAAUUCUAACUGAUCAUUUUGUCAUACAUAAGAAUUCCAUUGGCUGUGUUUUGCACAACUAUUAACAAGUCACUGCAGCCAAUGAAAAAACAGUUCAUCACCUAGUUAGUUUUUUUCAAUACUUCAGCUACAUUGACUUGAUCUGUGAGUAAGUUAUACAAACACCAGUUGCUAGCCAAAAUAGCUCUGCAUCUCAUUUUUUCAGUUCUCAUAUGGGUGGAAUAAUGCCAGAGUCACAUUUUGUCCAUCUAAUUGCUUCAUCUAUCCUGUGCGUUCACUACAAUGGACUUUGAAAUGUGUCAUCCAUCUCAUUGGUCCAUGUCAUCAAAAUUUCAGCAGAAAGAAAAUGAUUUAUGAGAUUUUAUAAAUUCAAUUUAAAUAGUCAAUUUAUGAGCAUUAAUCUAAUUGCUAAUUGUGAAAGUAAAAUCAGCUUAGACAAUUACAUAUUAUAAAUUUAGUCACCAUUAACAAUAAUUUAAGAAGAUUAGUAAGGAAAAUUAUAUAACCUCCUUUGAUGCUUGAAGACGUGAAACACCAUGUGUGAGGGGAACACUUCUCCAAACAACUCUUGGAAUCAAAACACCAACAAGUGAGCAGGGAAUAAACAUCAUGAAAGCAAGGUAAGGGCGAGCAAACCUGCAUUCAAUCAAGCAUGUAACUAAGAAAUUCAUUAUUCAGAAGAGCAUUAAUGUCAACAUAUUAAACUACAACUUCAGCUUUAACUUCAACUGGUAUAGAUCUGGAAGAAAUUUCAUGGUUACUGAAGUUUAUAACUAGAACAUCAUUUCAAAAUUCUGAAACAUGGCUGAGUGCAACCAGGAAAUGAUGUAGACCAUCCACCAGGAGGUCCAAGAACCUGGGCACAUAUCCUGGCUUUGCAACACCUAGUUAAAUAGUAUCCCGCCUGUUAACCUGGGAUAGGAUGAUUUUGAUUGUGUUGCAGAGAAUGAAAUGAAAGAGAAAAACGGUUCUACAGAAGCAAUACUGAGUAGCCUCUGCUUCAUUCUAUUCUCUUUAAGCAUGACAAAACUAUUUGAUUAGCUCUUUUUUUUGUCCCAUGCAGCAAUAUUGCUCAGGAUAUAUGUUCUUUUCUUGACCCAAUAAUAACUCCCCUCCAAAGGACAUAAUAAAGCACAAGGUUUAAACCAGAGAAACAAAAGGCUGUUUACUUCUCACUUUCGCUGCCUUGCACAAUGCAAUAGAAACAGCUCUUUCAUCAAUGAAACAGUUAGCUACUAAAUCAAAGUAACUUGCUACUGGAGAAAAAGAAAAAAAAAACAACUAUUAAUAAGCAAAUUUGGAGUUCAAAAAACACCAAGCUCAAAGUUAUAAAAAGUACACCUGCUAGAGCAACCUUACAGACAAGCACAAAAUGUUUCAUGGUAAUAUGUAUGCACACAAACACACGAGUACAUGUGUAUGUGUAUGUGUUACACAUCUGUUAAUUGAACAUUAUAUUGUAAUACAUAAAAACAAAAUCAUAAUAGAUAAGUAAUUCAAAAUGAAAAAAACGCCUACCAGCUCAUUGCAUGAUUAGAAAACAACAAUCUCAGGAUAGCAAAGACAAUUGGAACGACAACUGCCAGCACAACUCCAAUAGUAUGGAGCAGUAAUCCUGCAAAGUUAACAAAUAGAGCAGCAUUAUAUGGGACUUUCAAUAGGUUCUAAUUCUUAAGCUUAAAUAUUAACAUAUACUACUGAGAGAGAAGGACAAAAAUUUAUUGACUUAAAAAAACAUGAUAGAGCAAAGAAAUAAAGAUCUUCAAACAUAAAAAGCACAUGAGAAACUUUGAAUGAAAAUGCACAGUAAGAAUUAGAAAAAACUAAAACAAAAAAUAAAUAAAAGACCAUUUACCUUUAAAAAAGUCAUAGAAUGUUGAAAACCAAGUACGUUUUCCGAUAUUCAAUACAAACAGAAGAAAUGGCAUAAGAAGGAAGAUAGCAAUUGGAAUAGUAUGAAGCACCACAGCUGCCCUUCUUGAGUAGAAUAUCUAAAAAAUUUUAAAUGGAAAAUAAAAGGAGAAAUAUUAUCUAUCACUUAAAAUCAAACUUACUUGACAAUCAAAAUAUGAAAAUGACAAUAAAAGAAUAAUGUAAACCAUGAAUAAAAAUUAUAAAUAAAUAAUGUGGCACACCAUGAACCAUGAUAAAUAAUCAAAGAAAACAGCUCGCUCAUCCUUGGGUUCAUUGGCAGCAACUUUAAGAGAUUCUCGUUCAUGAGCAUUCAAUAACUUAGAGGAAUUAGCAAAGGCCCUUGUUAUGCUUAACAAAUUUUCUCCACGCGCUUGAAUGCUUCCAGGUCUGAUUUAUGAAUAUUAGUAUUUAUCAGAAGUGUCAUGGAUGAAGUCAUAUUAAACCUCCACUUAAGUGAAUUUGUACCAAAAUAGCAGUUCUAAUGCAUACAAUAGUCUCUCCAUUGUAUCAUAGGAGGUAUGAUAAAAAUAACCACCAAGAAGAAAGAUAAUAUCUAGCCCAGGAAUGUCACCAUAAUCUUCAGCAAAUAUUCUAUAAUCUGUAUCUCCAGGAAUCACAGGGAAAACAUCCUGCAUAAAGAAAGAAAAAUAUCAAACAGAACAUAUUGAACUACAAGACUACUACUAGAAAAAACAAAAGAAUAAUAGAUAGCAAGGGAAUGGAGACCACAUAAUAUAGUUGAAGAUGAGGUGAAUAUAGCUGAAUUUUUCCAACCUCAUUAUGAAUGUUCAAAACCAAGUAAACAUAGUAGAAGAGGAAGUAGAAACAAUAUUCAAUGUUCUAAAACAAAAACAAAAACUGCUUACUAGACUGUUUUUAUUACAACUAAGAAAGAUCAAGAACAGAACCAACUGAAAAAGCACACGAAAAUGAUAUUAAAUCGGUGAUAGGAAGACAACCUAUAUCUUUGAGUACAAACAUUAUCAGUAUGAUGCUCAAAAAGACCUGGCCACAAGUUAUUUCUCAUAAAAUUUCUACUUAAUCAGUUACAAAAAAGAAAAAGAAAAAGAAAAUCCUGGUUAACCUGACUUACAUUUUUAUGAUUUCUUCUACAACACAAAAUGUCUAGUUGCAACUUGCAAGACAAACAAAUGAAUUAUAAAACCUGCUUCAACAUCUGUUUAUCCAUAUACUGUCUUAUAGUAUCACACCGAUCCAUUCACCAUAGGCACCCAAUAUUAUCCCUUCUUUAUUAAAAACAAACGUAUUUAUUUCAGUAAUGGUACAUACAAGUGCAAGGGUUCUCCUAAUUGGGUUUUGAUGAUUAUAAAACAAGGUUAAGGUUAGUAAUUGUUCAAAUCAAGUUAAGUUAUUCAGGUUUACUUGUGAAAAUUUAAGGAAAGCUCAAGCAACAAUGGAAGAAGAUCAAUACCAUGAAGACUUGGGUUCCUUGAAAACUUGAAAUGACCUAGGAUUAAAUGUAAGAUCGUAUUUGUUGGUCCAAUUUAGUCUAAAUCAUUUUCAUGCACUUACAACUUAAUUUUCAUCCCUCCUUAAGCCUAAAACGAUCUUUUUUGUCAAAGAAAUGGGUGAAUCUUUGUUUUAAAUUAAACCUUGAACUAAAUUUUUUCUAAACUUAUCCUAAAAGGUUUUAAGAAGGUGUACACAAAUUGCUAGAGGUUCCAAACCUCAAAAUGGGUCAUUUUAAGCGCAACUGGUCAAGGGGGUUUGGAAACCAACUCGACUAGUCAAUGGUGCAUUUUUAUCUUCUCUCUCUUCCAGUAGCUGGGUUGUAGGUUGAGGCAAAGCCUUAACCAAUUGAGGUGAUUGCCUAAAUAGUUGAGGGUCUAAACCCUAGCGGUCACCUACAAUGCCUUAAAUGCACAACGGUUAGUGAACCGAUUAAACCACCAGUUGCUCAAUCGGUUGAGGCCCAUUUAUGACUUUUGGGGUCCCCAAGCUAGAAACCUAUAAAUUGGAGAGUUUUAGAGCAUUUAUUGAUAAGAGAACAACUGUAUUCAAUUGAAAAAACAUUCUUUCUUCUCAUUCAAAGCUCUUCUACAAGUGCAUUGAAUUCUCAAUUUGCAAAUCUUUUUCCACACCUUCAAAUCCACUUAGUUUCUUCUUGUAUUGAGAGUUGAACUUGCUACUAGGUUUGGAAUUCUUGAAUUCUUUCUUACUUACUCUUUGUGAGAGAUUUAUUCAAGUAGGGUGAUUACUUGAAGAGGUCGUGAAGGUCCAUUGAAACCUUGAAAUCCAAGUAUAAAGAGUUUGAUGAUUUGCUCUAAAAGUCAUGAAGAUAGUGGAACCCUCACUCAGUUAGGGGCUUGAGGAAAGUGGACGUAGGUAGCUUACCGACCACUAUAAAAGAGUUUGCAUUUUUCAUCUCUCAACUUUUUAGAUUAUUCUUCCUUUGUUCAUCAUUUCUCAUAUGAUGUGCUUUUAAUUGUUGGGUUUGGAUAAAGUUUUUAACACUCAAUUCAUCCCACCUCUUAGGUGAUUAUCUUAAUUUAAUUAGCCGUUUUUCACAAAACAGAUAUAAAAAAUUACCCUAUGAUCCCCCUCUCCAAGCAGAGUACUUCUCAUCCAUCAAUUUAUGUCUCCUUUUCUACUUGCUCUUGCUUUGUUCUUUUUCCACCUUCUAAACGAAAUCUUUUCUACCUUUUCUACAUAUCUUGCAUUUCACUUACAUAUAUUUUUCAUUUCUCAUACAGGGAAAGAAGACCUCUCCAUUUUUACACUAAGGGUUCCACACUUCAACAUAAGUGCCUUAAAUUUUGAAAAGCUGGGAGCAACUUCACCAACUCCAAUAUAUUAAAAUCCUGUGAACUUCAUAAACAGCAAUUUUAGCUAUCCAUUCAUAAUGGUAUCUCUCAGUUAGAAUGAUUUCUAACCAUUUUUUUCUGUUUCCUUUUCUUUUUUGAAGAUAUAUUAAAUGUAAGGGGAAACCGAACCUGCUUUACUAGGGCCAAAAACAAAAGUUUAACCACUUCUUUCCUCAAUAACUUUCAUAUAGUGUCAUGACAUGGGAAGAAAUGGGAAAGGGAAGCAACUUAACAAAGAAAGAGAGGGAAAUGAACGAACAAAAAGAAAGUGGACAAAGCAACUCAUGAUAAGAGGUGGAGGAAAGAAUAUCAAUAGCAGUUGCCAUUGGUUUCCAACAACCAAUAAGAUUUUUUUUUUUUUUUUUUCUGAUAGGUAAAUUUUUGCCCCCAUUAGGACUUGAACCUAGAACCUCCCACAAACUCUCCCUAUCCCUUUACCAUUUGAGCCAAGCCUCAAGGGCAACCAAUAAGAUUAUUUCAUCUUCCAAUAAAUCUUAGUAGCUUAUGCCUAAUUCAUUUAUGAUUUCUGAAAUUCUUUAAAAUGGGAAAAUCAUAUAUCAAUUUCAGAAAAUUAACAUCCUAACAUAUUUAAUUUGAAUAACUCAUUAAACCUAAGAUAAAAAUUUCAAGGUCCAACUCUCAAGAAAUAGUGCUUCAUUAUCAGCUAAUAUAACAAUGCCAAAUUAAUCAAGAAGUAGAGCUAAAACCUGAGCUGCACUAUGUGCCAUGGGGUAUACUGCAGACUGAGCAUAUACAAGGGAAGGCCAAGACCCAGGUCCAGAUUGGCAGACUAAAUCUGUUAAUUGAACAAUUAAUAAAUUAAUAAAGAGAUCUGCACCACCAUAAAUGCAAUAGAAUCACAAGAAAAUGAAAAGUCAUUCCAUUAGGGAAGCCAUGCCCCAAGUUAAAUGAUCAAGCAGAUUUUCAAGUUAGAAAAAAUUUGAUUAGUUCAAGGGUUUUAAUGUUAGGAGUCAGGAAAGAGCAAAAGCUUUUAGAAGUUCCCUUAUAAGUGAUAACAAGUAUUACUUUAAAAGAGAAAUCGCAUAAAGUACAAGAAACGUAUAGAUUCAAAACUUUGAAAUUUUGUCGUAAGGAUCACACCAAUGCAAAAUUGAGUAAGAGAAAUAGAUUUUAAAUAUUUUUGGAAGUUUCUAUUAUCAUGUUAGAACAUAGUAAAUUAAAUCUGACUUUUCAAGGUCUUGAUAUCAAUAAUCCAAGUUUCCCACUACAUGUUUGAUUUUAGCCCAUUAGAAGUGUAACUUCUGUCAAAUUAAAUAGCGGGUGACAUUCUUGUUUUGACUUAUAAAAAACCAAUUCGGCACACAACACAUGCAUUGUAAUUGCAAUAUUCGACCACACCAUGGCCCAAUUUGUGAGUUGUAUUGGCAAUUUUUAGUCCGUUACUUGGUCCUCUGGUUCUUUCCCACUUUUGAGGGGGUAAUUGAGCAAAACAUCUAAAAUUUAUGCCAAUUAAGAUUUUAUAACAAGGGUUCACCAUUCUAUGACACAAUGAUACCUUGUUUUCUUAUUAUUUAAGUUAUUUGAUAGUCAAGCAACUUUAAGAAAGUUCUUCCAUAUUUUUUUUGUAAGCCAUUCAACUAACAAUAACCCACCAAAAUAGAAAUUUUAUUAAGUAGUUAGUUCCAGUACUGAGUUUUAGCAGCAACAUAAAGUAUACAGUAAGACUACAUUUGGUUGGCAAGAUAGAAUAUGAUAGGAUGUGCAUAUCCUAGGAUAUCAUUUUCAUUGGAUAUAGUAUCCAAGUAUGUGAAAAUCAAGCAACUUUAAGAAAGUUCUUCCAUAUUCUUUUUGUAAGCCAUUCCACUCACAAUAAUCCACCAAAAUAGAAAUUUUAUUAAAUAAUUAGUUCCAGUAAUGAGUUUUAGCAACAACAUAAGGUAUAUAGUACAACUGCAUUUGGUUGGCAAGAUAGAAUAUGAUAGGAUAUGCAUAUCCUAGGAUAUCAUUUUCAAUGAGAUAUGAUAUCCUUGGAUAUUAUAUCCAAUGAAAACGAUAUCGUAGGAUAUUAUAUCCAAUGAGAUAUAUUAUGACAUGUUCAUGUUUGGUUUGUAGAGAGAAUAAAAAAUGGAAUAGAAAAUAUAUCACAUUUAAAUAUAUAAAAUCAUUAUAUAUAUAAUAUAAUACUUUCUAUUAGUAUCAUUUUAGGUUGUAUUAUUCGCAUUUUUUUAAUUCAUUUCCUUUUCAAACUAAUAUUUAAUUUUUUAAUCAAAAAUUCUUUUUUUUUUUUUUUUUUUUUGUAAAAUGAGUAAUAUAAAAAAAAUUGAGAAACAAACAAAGAAAAUGAACAAAGGAUAAUUUUAUUAUUCAUGGGGUAUGCAUAUCUCAUAACUCAAUUUAGGAUUAUUAUAUCCUAUGUAAAGAGGUAUUAAAAAGAGGUUGGAUAAGUUAUCUUAUCACUUAUCAUAUUCUAUGUAUGAUUAAAUAUGAGCUGAGAUAAAUGAUGGGAUAACUUAUCCUAUUCCAUCUCCAAUCAAAUAUGGAAUAAGAUAUGUUAUUCAUUCUCUUAUCAUAUCUCAUGUAAUAUCCAACCAACUAAACAAAGAUUAAGAAUUAUUGCAAAAGAAAAUAUUAACAUUAGAUCAAGUCCUACCAAGACCUCCCGUCCCAGAUGCUUCAAUAUUUAUAAAAGCUCCAAUUGUAUCACUCCAUUUAUGUGUCUUCAUGAAUCCAUGUGCACCCUGAAACAUGGUAAACAAAUAACCAGUCAUAAGCUUAAACACAUUGGAAUGGCAAACACAAAAUUUAGAUAAACUAAAUACACACUUUUCUACCUUUAACACACAUUAUCAGGUUAAAUCCAACAGAUAAUACCCUCUUCUACAUAUCAAAACAAACGUUUUAAAUUUCUUUCUUUAUAAUCUACAACCAGACUGAUACCUAUCCACAUAAAAGAAAAGAUGUUGUAGUUUCUUUGAAGGUUGACCAUAUCUUUCAUCGAUUUAAUUUGGAAAUAAUAUACAAUUCACGUAUUAUAAAUUUUCAUUUAUUUAAAUAGAAGAUGUUAAGUUCUUUUGCAGCUGUAGACUGUGUCAGACGGACACUCCACAAUGCCUAAGUUCCUUUGUUGCACAAAACAAAAGCAGGGUAUAGGAAAAGAAAAUGUAUCUGAAAAGCAUGCCAGACAACAAAGCCACCUGAUCAGGUCAUGGAAUGUCAUGGCAGGCACCCAAGGACACAACCAAAGGAUGCUUCAUAAUGAGAACAAUAUGGUAAAUACAAACUUAAGACCCUGUUAUGAGAACACUCUGCUCUUUGAAAGGUACAACAUGCUGUAGUCCACUUGAAAAACAAUAAAUCUGGUAUUUCCCAACUUCAUUGCCCUAGUUUUAUUCCCCUUUUUUAUUUAUCUCCAUUUAAAAACUUACAGGUGUGUCCCAAUGAAUGCUAAUCGUAUGAAUAGCCAUGGAUGGGCAUUGUUGGCAAAACAUAUAAUGAGAAGUAAAAUUAGAAAAGAUGUAUUCUGCCUUGAUACAAACUAAGACAUCUUCCCACUCAGAACAAACCAAAUACUCUAGGGGUCUAAUCUUGAAGAUUACCCCAUUGCUGAUUGGAGCUCAAGAUUCCAACUUACAUUUAUUUGGAAGUGAACACAGAUAUAGAACAUAUUACCAGGGAAAAAAAAAAAUCACACUUGCAUCAAUGGAACAAAACAGAAAUAUUAAUGAUGAAUUGAACUCUCUAGAGGUCAAAUUUUUUAAGCACCAUUGCUAACUAGAGUUCAAUAGCUAAAUUGAUGUAUUUGCUUGCCAGUGAGGGCAGAUAUAGAACAUGAUACCCAAUCAAAAAUUAAAUAACGACCCAAAAACGAAACGAGAAAUGUAUUGCUGAGUAAUAAUAAUAGUGAUAAUAAAUAACCACACUAUCGAUUAUUCCCAAACUAGUAAAAUAAUUUCUUUUUCUCAAAGUAAUGCAACAUUUGCUUACCAACAGAAAAAGUUCUUCAGCGCCAUUAAAAAGAAAAAUAAUGGGACGAGGGGGGACCCAGCCAGAGUCAACAGUAAGUCUUGCCAUUUCAAGCAUUGAUGCUGUAAAGAGGAAAAUUACACAGGAAUUAAUACAAUAUGUGGAAACAUGGUCAUGACAUAUCACCCAGGUAGUAGAGAUUAUUAAUGAACCCACCAACACAUGAACCACAAUCACCAGCACCCGGAGAACCAAGCGGACUAUCAAAAUGGCCAUUCAAUAAAACUGAUGGAUCAGUCUCUUGCGAAUUUACAGAUGAUAUCCUGUAACUCAAUUUAAAUUAAUUUAGAAUUACAUUUUCCAAGAAAAUAAUCAGAUUCUAACAGUAAUUCUUCAAACGCUCAGAUCAUUUAAGAAUUAAUCAAUGUCUUUUACAACAAAGCAUAUUUUUCUGGAAAAUUAAAACAUGAUAGAUUGGCUAAGAAUUUUUAUCAUAAUGCAACAAAAUAUGCUAGUUUCCUUUUCCCCUUUUCCUUUUGUUGGCUUUUCUUGCGGUUCACUGUAAUAUUUUUUUUUUUUUGAUAGGUAACAGUUCACUGUAAUAUAAACUCAACCAGGAUUCUGUGAAGUACCUCAUGAUAACAUUUGUAUGAUUUCUAUACCCCAAAGAUAUGCUAUAUCCUAAAAAUAUCAUGUUGAAGGAGCCAUCAACAAUAGUUUCCUCAAUCUCAAUCCUGCAAGUAAGACAAUUUGAAAGUAGCACAGGGAUUUACUGACAGGCAUAAGAAGAAGGAAACCCUUUGCAUCAAAUAUGUAUAUAUCUUAUGAAAGUGAAACUUCAAGCCUCUACUUCACUAACAAGCCUAUAGAAUAGUGCAUAACACGAACUUAAAAUCACACAAAUUGGAAUAACAUACCAACCUAAUAUUGGAACCAGCUCUCUCCUUCAACACUUCCAAUUGUGCUUUAAUAUACCGAGCAGCUUCUUUCAAACCCGGACUCCCUUCCUAGCAACAACCAUACUAUAAAUAAUUGAAACAAAAAAGCACAAACCUUCCUCCAUAUGGGUGUUUAAGUUUAACUUUGUAUGGUUGCCGAUAUAACAGAAGCAGAGAAAAUAGAUCAAUAAUUUUUUGCUUUUGUCUUCCAAAAUAUAAAACAUAGAAAUAAAACAAACUAAAAAACAGACUUAAAUAAGCUAAAUACUGGUAUUCAACUUAAAUAAGCAGAUUUUUUUGUUUUCUCAGGUCCUUAAUACUGAAUUUUCGAAUUUCAAAAUUUUUUCCUUCCCUACCGUUCCCAGCUACUAAUCCGAUGUUCCUGAAAUAAAUAUCUUUCCAUCGGAAAAACGGAAAAAAAACUGAGAUUCUAAGUCCACCAUAUUCAGAUCAUAUCGUUCAAAAAAAAAAUGAAAAUAAAAAUAAAGAAAUUGGGAAAAGUCAACCCAACUAGAUAAACCACUACAAAUAAUUCCGUGGGAACCGCCAUAAUGAUGAAAACCCAUUAACAAAGUCACACACUUUCAUUUUCUUUGCUUUGCCCGCAUUUUCUCAGCAACCAAACGGACGACGGAGAAAAAGAAACUCUACCACCACAAAAUCAAAUCAAAACAGGCCAAAUAAAAAUUACAAAGAAAGACAGAAACACAGAGUGGGAGAGGGAAGGAGAAAGGCAAGAGAGUUUCUACUGACUUGGCGGCUGCCAAUCUCCUGGGACAACACUCGGAGGUGUUGGAGA